This 71-nucleotide transfer RNA is filed under the name Ictidomys tridecemlineatus (thirteen-lined ground squirrel). Its description in RNAcentral is "Spermophilus tridecemlineatus (thirteen-lined ground squirrel) tRNA". It matches the Rfam family "tRNA". From Rfam's summary of the family: Transfer RNA (tRNA) molecules are approximately 80 nucleotides in length. Their secondary structure includes four short double-helical elements and three loops (D, anti-codon, and T loops). The record is from Rfam by way of RNAcentral. Lineage: Eukaryota; Metazoa; Chordata; Mammalia; Rodentia; Sciuridae.
AGGGAUGUGGCUCAGGGGUAGGGCAUUUGCCAAGCAUGCAAAAAGCCCUGGGUUUGAUCCCAGCACACAUA